Molecule: ribosomal RNA, 450 nt
Filed under: uncultured prokaryote
Description: bacterial SSU rRNA
Rfam family: Bacterial small subunit ribosomal RNA
Source: RNAcentral
UAAGGAAUAUUGCGCAAUGGGCGAAAGCCUGACGCAGCGACGCCGCGUGUGGGAGGAAGCCUUUCGGGGUGUAAACCACUGUCAGAGGGGAAGAACACCAUCGUUCCAAAUAGGACGGUGACUGACGGUACCCUCAGAGGAAGCGCCGGCUAACUCCGUGCCAGCAGCCGCGGUAAGACGGAGGGCGCAAGCGUUGUUCGGAAUUACUGGGCGUAAAGCGCGGGCAGGUGGUCCGUUAAGUCGUCUGUGAAAAUCCGGGGCUCAACCCCGUGAAAUGCAGGCGAUACUGGCGGACUGGAGAUCGGUAGAGGCUAGCGGAAUUCCUGGUGUAGCGGUGGAAUGCGUAGAUAUCAGGAAGAACACCCGUGGCGAAGGCGGCUAGCUGGGCCGAGUCUGACACUCAUCCGCGAAAGCGUGGGGAGCAAACAGGAUUAGAUACCCCCGUAGUCC